This 546-nucleotide ribosomal RNA is filed under the name Papiliotrema laurentii. Its description in RNAcentral is "eukaryotic LSU rRNA". It matches the Rfam family "Eukaryotic large subunit ribosomal RNA", at positions 119 to 654 of the family's 3401-position model. Lineage: Eukaryota; Fungi; Basidiomycota; Tremellomycetes; Tremellales; Rhynchogastremaceae. The record is from RNAcentral.
AAUCUGGCGUCCUCAGGGCGUCCGAGUUGUAAUCUAUAGAGGCGUUUUCCGUGCCGGACCGUGUCCAAGUUCCUUGGAACAGGAUAUCAAAGAGGGUGACAAUCCCGUACUUGACACGACGACCGGUGCUCUGUGAUACGUCUUCUACGAGUCGAGUUGUUUGGGAAUGCAGCUCAAAAUGGGUGGUGAGUUCCAUCUAAAGCUAAAUAUUGGCGAGAGACCGAUAGCGAACAAGUACCGUGAGGGAAAGAUGAAAAGCACUUUGGAAAGAGAGUUAAACAGUACGUGAAAUUGUUGAAAGGGAAACGAUUGAAGUCAGUCGUGACCGAGAGGCUCAGCCGGUGCUGCCGGUGUAUUCCCCUCGGUCGGGUCAACAUCAGUUUUGUCCGGUGGAUAAGGGCGGUAGGAAGGUGGCACCCUCGGGUGUGUUAUAGCCUGCCGUCGCAUACAUCGGGUGAGACUGAGGAACGCAGCUCGCCUUUAUGGCCGGGGUUCGCCCACGUCCGAGCUUAGGAUGUUGACAUAAUGGCUUUAAACGACCCGUCU